GCACUUCGGUCAUGAAAACUGGACAAAAUGUAUGAAGCAUGUCGUUAUCUUGCAGCUAGAUGCCAUUAUGCUUCAAAAGAGCACCAGCAGGCACUUGAUAUUCUUGAUAUGGAGGAACCAAUCAACAAAAGGUUAUUUGAAAAAUACUCGAAGGAUGAAAGUGGCUUGAAGGAUUCCUCCAGUGACUGGGAAAUGUCACAGUCUUCAAUAAAGAGUUCUAUUUGUCUUUUACGAGGGAAAAUCGACGAUGCCCUGGAUAACCAAACCCUGGCUACUUAUAGCUACAAAGAAGCAUUGAAACUCAUUGUCUACUGUUUCGAAACAUUUGAUCUUUUAACAUUACACCACAUGUUAACAGCUCAAGAAGAAAAAGAACCUCUUGAGUCGCUACCUCUUGGCAAACUCUGUACUGAAGAACAGGAAUUGCUGCGUUUUCUGUUUGAGAACAAAUUAAAAAAAUAUAGUAAGUCUAGUGAAACUGUCAUCCCUGAGUCUAUAGAUGUCUUGCAAGAGAAUCUGGAUGUGGUAGUGUCUUUAGCUGAGAGGCAUUAUUAUAACUGUGAUUUUAAAAUGUGCUACAAGCUUACUUCUGUAGUAAUGGAGAAAGAUCCUUUCCAUGCAAAUUGUUUACCUGUCCAUAUAGGGACACUUGUGAAGCUGAAUAAAGCAAAUGAACUUUUCUAUUUUUCUCAUAAACUGGUGGAUUUUUAUCUUAGUAAUCCUGUGUCUUGGUUUGCAGUGAGAUGUUAUUAUCUCAUGGUUGGUCAUAAAAAUGAACAUGCCAGAAGGUAUCUCAGCAAAGCUACGAUGCUUGAGAAGACCUAUGGGCCUGCAUGAGUAGCCUACAGCCAUUCAUUUGCGGUGGAAAGUGAGCAUGACCAAGUGAUGGCUGCUUACUUCACAGCAGCACAGCUGAUGAAAGAGUGUCAUUUUCCAAUGCAGUAUAUCGGAUUAGAAUGUGGUUUGACCAAUAACUCAAAACUGGCUGAAAGGUUCUUCAGCCAGGCCCUGAGCAUCGCACCUUUUGUUAUGCAUGAGGUUGGCGUGGUUGCAUUUCAAAAUGGAGAAUGUAAAACAGCAGAAAAAUGGUUUCUCAAUGCUUUGGAAAAAAUUAAAGCAAUUGGGAAUGAGGUAACAGUUAACAAAUGGGAAGCUUUGUUGAACAACUUGGGGCAUGUCUGCAGAAAACUUAAAAAGUAUGCAGAAGCUUUAGAUUGCCACCAUCAGGCGUUGGUGUUGAUUCCUCAGAAUGCGUCCACCUAUUCUGCUAUUGGAUAUAUUCACAGUCUGAUGGGCAACUUUGAAAAUGCUGUGGACUAUUUCCACACAGCCCUUGGUCUCAGGCAAGAUACAUUUUCUGUUACAAUGCUUGGUCAUUGCAUUGAAAUGUACAUCAGUGACUCUGAAACUUAUAUUGGAGCAGACAUUAAAGACAAAUUAAAAUGUUAUGACUUUGAUGUGCAUACAAUGAAGACACUAAAAAACAUUAUUUCACCUCUGUGGGAUUUCAGGGAUUUUGAAGUAGAAAAACAGACUGCAGAAGAAACGGGGCUUGCACCACUGGAAACCUCAAGGAAAACUCCGGAUUCCAGACCUUCCUUGAAGAAACCUUUGAGAUCGAAAUGAAUGAAAGUGACAUGAUGUUAGAGACAUCUAUUCAGACCAUAGCACAUGACUCCAGACGGUGAUCCUGGUUCCAUUUGUCCCGGUGUAGGAACAGAGACCUGCCUUAAGAGACUGGAUUGCACACCCUUGCCACAGAUGUGUUGUGAUUCUCUAAACCUCCACAAUAGUUAAACAUAGUGGAAUAAAGAAGGUAAACCAU
RNA transcript from Carlito syrichta (Philippine tarsier), 1825 nucleotides. It is a transcript of the gene named cell division cycle protein 16 homolog pseudogene, with no coding region annotated. The transcript has a single exon. Lineage: Eukaryota; Metazoa; Chordata; Mammalia; Primates; Tarsiidae. The record is from RefSeq and is a predicted model, not a curated record.